This is a long non-coding RNA of Sycon ciliatum, 276 nucleotides long. RefSeq lists it as uncharacterized. The transcript has 3 exons. The record is from RefSeq and is a predicted model, not a curated record. Lineage: Eukaryota; Metazoa; Porifera; Calcarea; Leucosolenida; Sycettidae.
CUGGAAAUGCAAGUACUGGAGAAACAGCUUCAUCAGCAACAACCAUGGUAUCAAGCACUACCCUGUCACCAAGCAUGCUACCAACAAAUACCACGCCAACUGCGGCAUUGGCAACAAGUGCAGAGGCAAACAGCACAUCACCUACAGUGGCACAAGCCACUACUACUGCUGCAACACCAACAGCAACAGUUACUGGUGGUGGUGAUUCUGACACAACUACUUUACUGGCAACGACAAUGAAGAACACAUCACCUACAAUGACGCAAGCCAAUACUC